AGAUGGAGAGUCGAACUCAGCAUCUAUCCUGUUGUUUUCUUUCAAUCCUCUACCAGAGUCUCACUAUGCAGAGGAGGCAAUGAGUAUAUGCUUACAGUUGAGCUUCCACCCCUAAUCUCUUUCAGUGUAUCCAGUGCCGAUGUAGUUAGUUUGAUGAAAAUGUUUUCCAUAUUUUGAAUCUCAGAAAGUUCUUUGGGGACAUGCUCAAAUGUCUCUUUAGUUCCGUUUGCAGAUGUGGAGCCACGUGUAACUUCCUCAAAAACCUCACUGGUUGAUAAGGAUUGACCUAGAGGCCCACUUUUGGGGAAAAUAAUACUUAGCAUCAG
This 326-nucleotide long non-coding RNA is filed under the name Cicer arietinum (chickpea). Its description in RNAcentral is "long non-coding RNA (CARI_LNC001283)". The record is from RNAcentral. Lineage: Eukaryota; Viridiplantae; Streptophyta; Magnoliopsida; Fabales; Fabaceae.